RNAcentral lists this ribosomal RNA (253 nucleotides) under uncultured bacterium. Its description in RNAcentral is "partial 16S ribosomal RNA". It matches the Rfam family "Bacterial small subunit ribosomal RNA", at positions 524 to 776 of the family's 1533-position model. The record is from RNAcentral.
UACGUAGGGGGCAAGCGUUGUCCGGAUUUAUUGGGCGUAAAGAGCGUGUAGGCGGCCAGAUAGGUCCGUUGUGAAAACUCGAGGCUCAACCUCGAGACGUCGGUGGAAACCGUUUGGCUAGAGUCCGGAAGAGGAGAGUGGAAUUCCCGGUGUAGCGGUGAAAUGCGCAGAUAUCGGGAAGAACACCCGUGGCGAAGGCGGCUCUCUGGGACGGUACUGACGCUGAGACGCGAAAGCGUGGGGAGCGAACAGG